RNAcentral lists this ribosomal RNA (402 nucleotides) under uncultured bacterium. Its description in RNAcentral is "bacterial SSU rRNA". It matches the Rfam family "Bacterial small subunit ribosomal RNA", at positions 917 to 1322 of the family's 1533-position model. The record is from RNAcentral.
GGGCCCGCACAAGCGGUGGAGCAUGUGGCUUAAUUCGAUGCAACGCGAGGAACCUUACCUGGGCUUAAAUGUAGUCUGACAGGGGUGGAAACACCCCCUCCUUCGGGCAGAUUACAAGGUGCUGCAUGGUUGUCGUCAGCUCGUGCCGUGAGGUGUCAGGUUAAGUCCUAUAACGAGCGCAACCCCUGCCGUUAGUUGCCAGCAUGUAAUGAUGGGAACUCUAACGGGACUGCCGGUGCAAACCGCGAGGAAGGUGGGGAUGACGUCAAAUCAUCACGGCCCUUACGUCCUGGGCUACACACGUGCUACAAUGGCCGGUACAGAGGGCAGCCACACCGCAAGGUGGAGCGAAUCCUUAAAACCGGUCUCAGUUCGGAUCGGGGUCUGCAACUCGGCCCCGUG